This 95-nucleotide small nucleolar RNA is filed under the name Brassica oleracea var. oleracea. Its description in RNAcentral is "snoRNA snoR110". It matches the Rfam family "Small nucleolar RNA snoR110". The record is from Rfam by way of RNAcentral. Lineage: Eukaryota; Viridiplantae; Streptophyta; Magnoliopsida; Brassicales; Brassicaceae.
GCUAGAUUCAGUGCCCAUCCUUGUCUUUUCAAAGUUGUCUCCUUUUUUUUUUUUAAAUAUAAGGACAUUACUGUUUUACUUGGUGGCAGAAACUU